AUCUCACCAGCCUCCUCCAUGCCAGGCUCGGGCUCUUCCUGCUCCUGGAACAAGCUCCGGACUCGGGGCAUUCGCCGCAGAUGCUGCAUCUCCGAAGCUCUCGGCUGGUAGAGAGCAGCCGCCACAUGCUCUGGGGCGGCAGGGCUGAGCUGCCAAGAGCUCCUGGCCAUGACCUUGGUGCAUGGAGUCCAGAGGGGGCUGGGGAAGACCUUCUCUUCACACUCGAGGAUGCACACCUGCAAAGAUACGGGUGAGAGGAGGGGAGAAGGAACAAGGACCUCUGUUAAUCCAGGGCGAGGGAGGAGAUCUGGCCCACUGCACCAGUGCAAGUGCUUCUGAAGCAUCUAAGUUAUCAAGUAACGUGGAGCAGUUUUACACAGGUUUUAGGUUCGUAGAAUUUCAGAAUUGGAAACAAACAGAGAAUCAUCUGACCCAGCUCCAUCAUUUUACAAAGAAACCAGGGCUCAGAGAGGUGAGCGUAACUUACCUCUGGUGUCACAGCACGUUAACAUAGGAAGUUAACACAGGAUAAAUGCGCCCAACACCGCACCUUGUUACAUCUUUAGUCGGGUUUUUGGAGCCAAGCACAGCUCAUGACUGUCACCCAUAAAGAAUUUUAUUUUGUUCUCUCUUCAGGCUUGUGGGAGGUCACAUGGGUUAAAGAAAUUGGGGAUGUGAAAGUAUGUAGUCAAAUCUGCAGGUUUAUUUUAAGGUCACCAUGUAAAGAUCUACCUAGGUGUUGUUAAUUUUUCAUCCCGCGUACAGCAGUCGUCACUAUCUGUGUAUCAUUUAUAGCAAAUGGGGUCAAGACCCUGUGGGGUGGUAGGCCGGCUGGACGUGCGGGGCUGAACCUGUGAUCCAGUUCCAGGUGUGGGGAGAGAUGCCAUCAUCAGACCAGAGCCCAGCAGACCCGCUCGGCUCCUAGGAACACUCUGCUCUGCCUCUCCUGCCAACCCUGACUUCUAGCCACCAGCUGGACCACGAUGUUUCUCCAGCCCCUCUUGGCUGGUUCUGACCUUGGCCCCCCACCUCCCACGUUCUUGGUUCUGAUUGGGUCUCCUGGAAGCCUCUGCCCCCAGCUUUUCUUCCUAUUUGCUGUUUUGGCUUCACCCCUAAUUUCAGUCCAGGUUUCUGGCCUUAGCCGGCUGGAAACCCCACUUCAACCUGACCUUACUGCUGUGAGUCAGUAGGCAGAGCUCCUCAUCAUAGCGUGGAGCUCCUGCCUGGCUUCCAGGUCACCUUCUGGGGCAGAGGCUGCAACUGGCCCGUAUUCAUCUCCCCUUCUCCUUAUGCACAGAACACUGUUUUAUUCCUAAAGGCAACGUAUAUGUUUCCCAAGCUUCCUUGGAGCCAUAAGUAGCUGACGACAUAAAAAUGGAAGUGUAGGCCGGGUGCGGUGGCGCACGCCUGUAAUCCCAGCACUUUGGGAGGCCGAGGCGGGUGGAUCACGAGGUCAGGAGAUCGAGACCAUCCUGGCUAACAUGGUGAAACCCCAUCUCUACUAAAAAUACAAAAAAAAAAAAAAAUUAGCUGGGCGUGGUGGCGGGCGCCUGUAGUCCCAGCUACUCAGGAGGCUGAAGCAGGAGAAUGGCGUGAACCCGGGAGGCGGAGCUUGCAGUGAACCGAGAUCGUGCCACUGCACUUGACGCUGGGCGACAGAACGAGACUCCGUCUCAAAAAAAAAAAAAAAAAAAGGAAACGUAAUCCCAGAACUUUGGGAGGCCAAAGCAGGCGGAUCACUUGAGGCCAGGAGUUUGAGACCAGCCUGGCCAACAUGGCAAAAACCCAUCUCUGCUAAAAAUACAAAAAUUAGACGGGUGUGGUGAUGGCUGCCUGUAAUCCCAGCUACUGGGGAGGCUGAAGCAAAAGAGUUGCUUGAACCUGGGAGGCGGAGGUUGCGGUGAGCUAUCAUGUCACUGCACUCCAGCCUGGGUGACAGAGUGAGACUUUGCCUAAAAAGAAAAAAAAGGUGAUCGGGCAUCAGAUGGGGUUUCCAAGAAAGUAGGAGACUGACUUAAGUGGGAAGAACAUUCCGUUUUCCUCUUCCUCCAACUUUCUGUUUGGAAUGUGGACAUUUGGGCUGACAUUGUGUUUGCCAUCUAGAAACCAUGCAGCGACUCAAAGGAUGGGAGUCAUGGGCUAGAAGCUGCCGACUGGCAGAGAAGAGAGAGGAGACUGGAGCUGCCACUGCAGCCCUGGGCUGUUCCCUUCUCACUCCUUGUGAGGAACUGAAUCUAUUGAUUUCAGCCGCUGUCACUUUAGAUGUUUGUUACUAGCAGGUGAAUUUCAUUCUUAUCUGAUAUAUUUGUCCUUCUGCUUGGCCUCUCGGUCCCUGUCUCUGAGUGGCACCUCACUCCCCAGUUGACUCAGAUUUCAAACCCUGGGCAUAUCUUUUCCUCCUCUCUCACUGCCCCCAUCCUGCCAGUCUACAGUUCUGCCCCUCCUCCCACUCCCUCUACCACCGCCUAAGUGCCUCUUAGGUGAAGUGGGUCCCUAACUGAUCUCCGCAUCUCUGGUCUUUGCCACUGUCAUCAGUGUGGUACCCCUGGCAGGAUACUCUUCCUGAAGAGUAACUAAUCAUGUCAUUACCUUGCUCACAGCUGUCUAAUUGUUUAUCAUAUCCAUAAAACAGCUCCAAACUCUUGAGCAAAGCAUUCAAAUCCCUCUACCACCUGGUCCAGCCCACCAUCUAGGUCUUAUUUCCGAUUCUUCAUCACACACCCCUUGAGGCCUAUGAGGCUGUUCCUAGUGCCUUAAACACCGCAAAGCUCCUCGCACCUGCAUGCCUUUCUCUCUGUCCCUUGGAUGCAAUGACCUCCUUGCAUCCUUCCAUCCAUCCUUUGGGACCCAGACAAGCUCCAGUGCUGCCCCUCUCUGAUAACUUCUAGUUCCCUGGCAAGAAUCACUCUCUCCUGCCUCUGUCUUCCCACAGAACUUUGUAUUCCUCUUGUGGAAAUUUUAAUGCUUUAUGUCAUUAAAUUGCAAUACCUUCUAAGGCGGAAUAUGACAAGUUAGGGACCACAUCUUACUCAUGUGUGAAUCCCUUGCAGGAAUCUUCUCCUUCCAGUAAAGAGUAGGGUUCCAGUAGAGGUUAGUUGAACUGAGAUGAAUUAAUCAAGAAGUCACUCUAUAUUUAGCUAAGAGUAUAAAAGAAGGGAAUGAAAAGAGGUGAGAAAGAGUCCCUGGAAGAACAGGGGUCGCAGCUAGUUGCAACCAGGACUGGGACGCCCCUAGUGCUUAGCAUGCGCACUGUUGCAGGCAGCUCCUGUCACCCUGCUGCCACCCUUUGCUUAUCUGAUUACUCAUCUGUCCCAUUAGUCCAGGAUUCCAGGAUUCUUUUAUUCUUUUUUUUUUUUCCUUUGGAGACAGAGCCCACACCUGGUCUAAAGGGUCCCACACCUGGAUGUGAGUCCCAAUCACCUGCAGAGCUUUUAAAAACAGAAUUUCGGCUAGGCGCAGUGGCUCAUGCCUAUAAUCCCAGCACUUUGGGAGGCUGAGGCGGGCGGAUCAUCUGAGGUUGGGAGUUUGAGACCAGCCAGACCAACAUGGAGAAACCCUGUCUCUACUUAAAAUACAAAAAAUAAGCUGGGCGUGGUGGUGCAUGCCUGUAAUCCCAGCUACUCAGGAGGCUGAGGCAGGAGAAUCGCUUCAACCUGGGAGGCGGAGGUUGUGGUGAACCGAGACUGUACCACUGCACUCCAGCCUGGGCAACAAGAGUGAAACUCCUACUCAGAAAAAAACAAAACAGAAUUUCAAGACUCAACUAAAUCUCUGAAGAAUAGAAGCAGGGAUUAAAACUUAUUUUUACAAAGGAAUUAAAAACUUAAUUUUACAAAGUUCAGGUAAUUCCGAUAUUUGCCUGGGUUUGCAAAUCAUGAAUAUAAUUCAACCUUUGCAUUUUAUGAUGUGGUUGAGUAAUGUGUCCAAAACAACACGGUUAGAUAACAGUAUAACCUGAACAAGAACUCAAAGAUGCCUUGUGGCCCAGUCCAAGACAUCUACUCAGCUACCUCUGUGUGCUUGCAAUAUGAAUUGGUGGCAAUUAAUGCAAGAAGAAGGAUUCUAUGAGACCAAGAGCUGAGGUUUGGAUGGGAGUAUUGCCUAUGUUCCACUGGACUGGAAGGGACAGGCAGGGACUAGGUCUGACAGGAGUGUCCCUUUCCUUCCCUGGCAGGGUUUCCAAGAAGCAACCUGUCCAAGUCCACCUAUUAGUCACAGGAGGUGACACUGGCCCCUAGUGAUGCUCACGCCGUGGUUUUUCUGAGCAUGGCUUUUUCAUUUAGCUUUUGCUCAGAGAUGCUUAACACAUGGAACCUAGUUGCUGACAGAAUGACCUCAGCAGGGAGAGGAAGGGAACUACUUUUUCACACCUGCAAUGUUACUGAUUAUAAAAAAUGAUAGGUAACUUCCAUAGAUAGGGAGGGCUGCCUUAAGAACAAUGAAGUUGCAAACUUCUGGAGUAUUCUAUAAAAAUUGCUACUGUGCUGGGCAUGGUGGCUCCCGCCUAUAAUCCCAGUACUUUAGGAGGCCAAGGAGGGAGGCGCCUUUGAGCCCAGGAGUUUGAGAGCAGCCUGGGCAACAUAGGGAGACCUCAGCUCUACAAAAAUAAAAAUGUUAGUGGGGUGUGGUGGUGCAUGCCUACAGUUCUAGCUACUUGGGAGGCUGAGGUGAGAGGAUUGCUUGGGCCUGGGAAGUCAAGGCUGCAGUGAGCUGAGAUUGCUGUACUGCACUCCAGCCUUGGUGACAGAACGGGACUGUCUCAAAGAAAAAAAAAUGCUACUGGAGUUUGUUAGAAUGCAAAUUUUUAGCCUAAAGCAUUGGAGAUUCUGAUCCACUAAGUCAAGGGUGGGGCCCAGAAAUUUGUAUUUUUAGCAAUAGCUCAGGUGAUUCUGAGACUGGAUGAUACCUGGAGAAAUCCUGUUUUGGAACUUGCUCUGAGGAGGAAGAAGCCAUCACAGAACACGGUGGUUAAAGACUCCUACAGAGAAAGAGUCACCUGGGUCUGUACUUAGCCUGCUCCUGAAAUACUUGGAAGAAAACCAGCUAGAAUCAAUGUGUAGUAUAUUCUUUCAGAUCAGAAUCCUGUCGAGUUAGUACUCUACAGGCGUGGAUCUCAACUGGGAGUGAUUUUGCCCACUAAGGGGCCAUUUGGCAAUCUCUGGAGACAUUGUUGGUUGUCAGAACUGGUGUGUGUGUGUGUGUGUGUGUGUGUGUGUGUGUGUGUGUUACUGGCACCUAGAGGCCAGGGAUGCCAGUAAACAUCCUAAAGUGCCCAGGACAACCCCCACAACAAAUAAUUCCCCAGUCAAAAGUGCCCAUAGUGGCAAGUUUGAGAAACUCUGCUCUACAAAGUCAACAGGGAUGCAGAGAAGUGUGGCUAGCACUGGGAAAGUCAUAGAAGGGUAGAGUGGGGGAGCUGGAUCUGACUUUUGAGCAUGCUUGGCCCAAUCCUUGCAGAACAGGAGCCCCAAACUGCUUGUUGAAUUUUUCUGCUCCGUCAGUUUAUGGAAACAAGUGGAAGAGUUGUUAAACUUGGAGGUGCUUAGAUCUUCUGUGAGCCCCUGGGUUUCCAAGCCCAGAUAGUAAUUAGAUUUUGUGUCAGUCAGAGAAAAUGAAAUUGUGUGAUCAAACCAGAUGCCACAGUCCAUACCCAGACUUGAUGCACUGUUAGAUAAAUUAGAUGCUAACAAAAUCAUCUCAACUCUUGACUUAGGAGAGGGUUUUGGGCAAAUAGGAGGAAGCUAAAUUCACAACGCAUUUGUAGCACCAGAUGGGCAUAGGAGCUUAAUGCCUGACCCUCUGGUGCGGGGAACUCACCAGCCUUUUUCCAGAGAUGGGUUAAUGGCUUAUUAAGUGAGCUGGACACGUUUUGGCAGCCCACGCUGAUGGCAUUGCUAUAUUAAGCCAGAAUGCGUAUGGGCAUCUGGAGUCUCAGAUGGCUGCCAAAUUCAUCUGUAAAGCUGGGCUUAUGGGGAAAGUGAACAAAUGGCCUUUUGGGUGUCUGGGCUCAAAGAUUAGGGUACAAAGUGGGAAACAGGCAUAUGAACCCAUUGGGGAUGAAAGGAGCAGCUCACAAAGGUGGUCAAGUUUCUGCCACUAAAGAGUCACACCACUUCUGACCAAGAGACAUUUGGGAGCUAUUUGCUUUGUGAGGUCCUGCUAGAAUAUCUGAGGACAAAUACAGCAGAUGAGCAUAGAAGACAAACAUAUAAGGAACUCCUACUGCAAGUCACCUCAUUAGAAUUUUCAUCUCAUGAAGAUAGAAAGAACUACCAGAAGGUAGCUCGUUUUGCAGUAGAAUUUUAGGGAAUUUUAUUGAUUGAUUGAGACAGAGUCUUACUUUGUCCCCCAGGCUGGAGUGCAGUAGCAUGAUCUCAGCUCACUGAAAUCUCUGCCUUUUGGGUUUAAGUGAUUCUUCUGCCUCAGCCUCCUGAGUAGCUGGGAUUACAGGCAUGCAUCACCAUGCCCAGCUAAUUUUUGUAUUUUUAGUAGAGACAGGGUUUCGCCUUGUUGGCCAGGCUGGUCUAGAACUGCUGGCCUCAAGUGAUCCACCUGCCUCAGCCUCCCAAAAUGCUGGGAUUACAGGUGUGAGCCACUGCACCAGGCCAAAUUUUAGGGAGUUUGAAAUAAAUUUCCCCACACUCUUUCUUGGGAUUGGUUGCCUUAUUUUUGUCUCUAAAACAACUCAGUGAAUCCAGUUUUUUCUCCUUGAGCUGAUGAAGUAAGUACCAUUCACAAUUAGGUUAAAGGCCAGGACGUUGCAAUGGAUUUGGGUGUGAGUCAUUUACCAAUAAAAAUUAUAGUCUAACAACAAGCAGCCAUACUCAAAUAGUCUACUAGGAGCAGAAAUAAAAAGUUUCUUGAUGAAGCCAAGGAUCCAGAGGAUCCUGGGAAUAGCUCAGGAUUAUGUAAUUUGGUGGAAGGACUGGGGAAGUGACCCUUGCUGAAAUAUGAGUCCCCUGAUCAUUCACAGAAUGGACAUAGUCAAAGGCUGCCAGAUUUGGAAAUGGAUUUGAGUGCCUACAUUCUAGGCAUUUCAUUAAACUUAAACAUAGGUUAAAAGUGAAUACAAACUAGAAACAAAAACAAGCAGGCAGCCACAUCCUCCGGGGGGUUAGCGAGCACUGUGAAGGUGUUAGUCCCCCAUUGUGAGGCUUUUACAGGUCCAUUUUCUGACUUGUUUCAAAGAAGUAGAGCUGAUAAUGUUGUCUAGACCCCAGAUAUUUAAGAUGCUAUGGAGAGAUGCAGACAUGCUCCAAAUUUUUGAGUCUCUGAAAGAUGGAAAUGUAAAACCUUUACAGAGACUGCAGCAGAUGUGCCUAUUAGGAGACUAAUGGUCUUAGAAUCUUCCAAUUUCCACGGGAUGGGAUGUGUUUAUUGAGCUAUGCUCUGUGCCACACACUGUGCUGAGUGCUGGGAUACCCAGAUCCAUCAGUAAAGAAAGCUCACUCCAUAUGGGGAGAGAGAGUCCUGCAGAUACAACUAACAAUCAGAACAUGAGGAAGGAGGGCCCACUCCACUGGGGUGGGUGGAGAAUCAGUGCAAUGUUCUCUUACCAGAGGACACUUAAUCUGGGAUUUGAAGUGCGACUGGGAUUUAUGGAUGGGGGAGGAGGCUGUGGCAGGCACAAUGGCAGGGCAGGAAGAGAAGGCAGGAUUUCUGGGAACUAUGGAAAGUGAUUGGGAACACGGGUCUGGAGCCCAGGUGAGAGGAGUUCAGGAGGAUUCCUCUAGGAGUUUUCUGCAGCCUGGGAGGAGCAGAAGGCCUGGGAUGUAUGGGUGGGUUCUCAGAGGGAGGUGAAAAGCAGAGAAUCUUGGCGAUCCUUUAUGUGUAGGGAGUGGGGAGAGGACAAGGAACCAACACAGUAGCCAGAGUGAGGAAGAGAAUGAGGCACAUGGACCGAGAGAGGGCUGGUGUUCCUGAAGGAGGAAAUCAUCAGCAAGGUAGGAGCUCAGAGAGAAACACGGUGGAUGAGUAAGAGGAGACAUUUACUGUAACCACUUAACCGAGGGCCAACUGUAGACUAUAUUCAUGGAAAGUAAUAAUGUUAAUAACAUGGGAAAUUGAUCCUGGUAUAAUAUAGUAAGUGAAUUGGUUAACUGGAGAUGCCCUGGGUAGUUAUGACUGGUUGGAAAAUGGGCUUGAAAACCACUGAGCCCAAGAGCUUGGUGCUUUGGGUCUGCUGGAUUUUAUCUCCUCCUCUGUUAUCUGGAGGUGGGAGACACCAGGGUGUGUUAGUCCCCCUGCAAAUACUCGGUUCUACAUUUGUACAUUUGCCUUAAGGAACUGUGGUGCUUCUGGUGUUUUUGAAAGGUUAAGGGGUUUAAAAGAUGGCAUCUUUUGAAGGAAGUUAUUUGACUAUAAAGUAAAAAACAAUUGAGCUAUACUGGAUUUAAUAGGAGAGGAGUAACUAUCUGGACUGAAAUGUAGAUAGUUGACAAAGCAGUUUAUUUAAUGAAGAAAAAGUUAAUACUGGAUUUGCACCUUAAGUUGGAAAUUUAAAAUAUAAGAGAGCAUUUUGGUACUAAGGGGUUCACUGUUGAGUUAUCUGCAAUAUCAAAAAUAAAGACCACUGUGCCGGGGCUGAUGACAACCUCUUUAUGGUGGCUUCUCUCCAGUCCACACAGGGAUCCUUCAUUAUGCACCAGCUGCAUGUCCAUCAGAAGAUAGGUGGGUCUUCCCGAUGCCCCAUUUCUUAGACCCAUUGCAGAUAAGACUCCUACAAUGGAGCUUAUGCUUGUUUACCAGCUAUUAUGGAGAGAGGCUGCUUUAGUUUCUUUUCCUCUUCUGGCUGAUACAAUUACACUUCAAGUGUCUCUCCUCUCAUCUAAAUUUCCACCUGGAAAGAGGGGGACGGCAUAGAGGAGGUGGAGGAAAGAACAAUUGCCCAGCCCAGCACAGGUCAAGCAUUCCCCAGGCUGGAGAGAAAUGAACGCGUGAGAGCUGUGCUCAGAAACAAGAGUCCUGGCUUCUAGUCUGGCUCUGUCGUUACCUGUGGGAUUUUAAGCAAGACCUUUUCUCUCUGGGCCUCAGCUUUUCCCUCUAUAAGAAGAGGCAGUUAGAUGAGAUGGUUGAUAUUCUCUGAUUUUAUGAAUGGCCAGAUAUUUGUCCUUUCCUGGAAGUAAGGAUGGAAGGAAGAAGGGAAGAGGAAAAGGAGAUGAAGGCUUUAUGGGGAAGUAGCUUCCGGGCAGCAUGAGGAAAGCCAUAGAAAGAGUGUGGAGGGGGCAAAAGACACACGUUCAGGGCUACUGCAGGUGGGAAGGUAGCUCUCAACUCCCAUCUUCCUGGUUCUGGGCCACACUCCCACAUAUACUGGCAACAUAAUUUAAAUAGAUUUUGGAAAGCUUUUAUUUACUUUUAGCUGGGUGUAUUGGCAUGCAACUGCAAUCCCAGCAACUUAGGACGCUUGAGCCCAGGAGUUUGAGACCAGCUUGGGGAACAUAGUAAGACACCUAUCUCUACAAAAAAAAAAAAAAAAAAAAAUUUAGCUAGGUGUGGUGGUGCACAUCUGCAGUCUUAGCUAUUCAGAAGGUUGAGGCAGGAGGAUAGCUUGGGCCCAGGAGGUUGAGUCUGCAGUGAGCUAUGAUUGUGCCACUGCACUCCAGUGUGGGUGACAGAGUGAGACCCUGUCUGUAAACAACAACAACAACAACAAAAGACCUGCCUGGGCAAUAUAGCAAGACCUCCAACUCAAAAAGAAAGAAAGAAAAGCUUUUAUUUACUUUUAUGUAAUAAAAUCAUUCGGUGUUCUUUUCUAAAAUAUUGGAAAACACAGAGAAACAGCAAUGAAUCUAGGACAACAAUCUUCAAACUUCUUCUUCUUUUUUUUUUUUUUUUUUGAGAUGGAGUCUC
Molecule: long non-coding RNA, 9852 nt
Filed under: Homo sapiens (human)
Lineage: Eukaryota; Metazoa; Chordata; Mammalia; Primates; Hominidae
Description: non-protein coding lnc-ZNF395-2:4
Source: RNAcentral